This 502-nucleotide ribosomal RNA is filed under the name Rhodococcus (subgen. Prescottella) equi. RNAcentral's name for it is "Prescottella equi bacterial SSU rRNA". It matches the Rfam family "Bacterial small subunit ribosomal RNA", at positions 434 to 927 of the family's 1533-position model. Lineage: Bacteria; Bacillati; Actinomycetota; Actinomycetes; Mycobacteriales; Nocardiaceae. The record is from RNAcentral.
GUUGUUAGGGAAGAACAAGUACCGUUCGAAUAGGGCGGUACCUUGACGGUACCUAACCAGAAAGCCACGGCUAACUCCGUGCCAGCAGCCGCGGUAAUACGUAGGUGGCAAGCGUUGUCCGGAAUUAUUGGGCGUAAAGGGCUCGCAGGCGGUUUCUUAAGUCUGAUGUGAAAGCCCCCGGCUCAACCGGGGAGGGUCAUUGGAAACUGGGGAACUUGAGUGCAGAAGAGGAGAGUGGAAUUCCACGUGUAGCGGUGAAAUGCGUAGAGAUGUGGAGGAACACCAGUGGCGAAGGCGACUCUCUGGUCUGUAACUGACGCUGAGGAGCGAAAGCGUGGGGAGCGAACAGGAUUAGAUACCCUGGUAGUCCACGCCGUAAACGAUGAGUGCUAAGUGUUAGGGGGUUUCCGCCCCUUAGUGCUGCAGCUAACGCAUUAAGCACUCCGCCUGGGGAGUACGGUCGCAAGACUGAAACUCAAAGGAAUUGACGGGGGCCCGCACA